AAAAUUACCACUAAUAUAAUGUAUAAUGAGAGUAGCAACAUACCUGCUAACCAAGGGUGACGGACGGAAUCGUACCUUCACCCUGGUCAACCCAGGCUCGGUUGAGUCCAGUCGAAGAUAACAGACUUGAAAUUAAACUUGGGACCUUAACGGACGAUUGCUUUCUAUCAUGGAUAUUUAUAUACAUUAUCGUCACGUCUUGUUAUAAAGCCAAGAACGUCACGUUUAAUGCGGCAAGACGUUGUCAUAGAGCGGAUGAUUCGGAGGGAGAAUUCAAAGGGGUGCUGGAGCCUAUCCCAGCUGUCUUCGGGCGAGAGGCGGGACUGGACUGGUCCAUUCGCCAUGAUAACAUCAAGAACAUAUCGAAUUUGGUUCCGUUUCAUUGAGCAAAUGAGGCAAAAAAAGUGCAUUUCUAGGCGGCAACCAGCAGAGGUGCUGUUGAUUCAAGUUGAACUACUACAUAACAUAGCAACAGCCACACUAUGGAAACUAACAAACAGCAUUUUUCUCUGCUCAUUGUGAUGUUGGCAUGACAACAGGAGUUCAGAACAUUCUAACAAACAUUCCAAGAAAUACAGUUAGAAUUAAUCAAUUGAUUGUGCCACCUAUCAAGGAAACAUAAUCAAAUGUCUAUUGUUGGUAUCCAACACAUGAUAAGUUACACCAUCAUUGUUAAUUUUUUUUAAAUGUAUUUUUGAUAUUUUUUAAUAAAUGUUUUGAGAUGUAAACACGGUUACUGUCAGCCAGUUAGAAAUAGAAGACAUCAUUAAGAUGAAGACUCAGGAGGACAUGGGAAUUGAGUUCUUCUCCUUUCACUACCCCGAACCAAACUCCGACAUCCAGGCUUUGUAUCUUUCCAGGUCUGCAGCGGAGACGGAUUUAGAAAUCUUCUUGAGCGUGAGGGUGAAGUCCUCCAUCUUCACCGGCAUCUGCAGCUCUUCCUUGGACAGCGCUCGGAUCUCCUCAGGGCUCAGGCCUUGAAUGCGCCGACGCAUAGCCAUCAUGGAUGCGUCCCUGAAGACGUCACCUGUUGGGAGAGGGAUGUAGAUCCGCUUCUCCAAGCGUCGCCGCAGUGCUUCAUCAAUGUCCCAGGGGAAGUUUGUGGCAGCAAGCACCAUCACCAUCUUUGAAGGGUCAUCGUUGUCCUGGGCGCCACCCACACCUACAGAAGAAAAACAUCAGAACCCAUAAUAAGUCAUGGAAUGAAAAGAUAACAUAAUGGUUCCCUUGCAUACCAUCCAUUUGAAUCAGAAGCUCAGAUUUGACCCUGCGGCUCGCUUCGUGUUCAUUCGAUGUUCCUCUCCGACUGCAGAUAGAGUCGAUCUCAUCUAUAAAGAUGGUGGUGGGCGCAUAGAAGCGUGCCUGUAUAAAUAACACACUUUUAAUGACAUUACAGUUUAUCAGUUGUGUUUUAUCGCAGUUGAAACCUAUGCAUAAUAAUUCAUAUUAAUUACCAUUUCAAAGAGCAAGCGCACCAGUUUCUCGGACUCGCCCCGGUAUUUGGAUGUGAGUGUGGAGGAAGACAUGUUAAAGAAUGUCGUCCCACAUUCUGUCGCCACGGCUUUGGCUAACAUGGUCUUUCCUGUACCUGGGGGGCCCACCAUUAACACACCCUGUGAUGAAAGAAAGUGAUUUUUACUGAGUUUUACUGAAAUAUCUAGUAUGAAAGUAAGUUGAAUAUUUAGGAGAAUAACAUUUGCAUAGUUAAUAAAUGUUUUUUUAGGGAAAACAUAUUAUAAAUUAUUAUUCAUUCAUUUUCUAACACUUAUCCUCACGAGGGUCGCCUGGUCGCCAGCCAAUCACAGGGCACAUAUAGACAAACAACCAUUCACACUCACAUUCAUACCUAUUGAAUUAACAAUUUGGAGUCGCCAAUUAACCUAGCAUGUUUUUGGAAUGUGGGAGGAAACCGGAGUACCCGGAAAAAACCCACGCAUGCACGGGGAGAACAUGCAAACUCAACACAGAGGUGGCUCAGGGUGGGAUUGAACCCGGUUCUCCUAGCUGUGAGAUCUGCACGCUAACCACUCAACCGCCGUGCAGCCUAAAUUCUCAUUAUUAUUACUAUUAUUAUUAUUAUCAUAAAUAUUAUAAAUACAGAUAUACUGUAAUAUCAUAGUAUUACAGAUUUUUUGGGGGGGAAAAUGUGUUUAAGGAAAAUGUAUUAUUUUGUAUUAAAAAAACAUUGUAAUAUUAUUAGCAUAUCACAACUGUAUUAUUUCUUUAAAUGACUGAAAUCACAAUAAAGGUGUGUGUGAAAAUUUUGGAAUUUCGUAUGGUAUAAUAUGACUUUAGUCUUGUUAAAAUUCCACUUUAAUGUCAUAAGUAUGGCCGAAGGGCCAUUUGAGCCUCCCAGCUCGUUUUUUAUUAGCCUGCAGUAGACUGUAGAAGUAAAAUUACACACAAAAAAUGCAGAAUAUUUAAUUUAUUUAUGCGUCUUUUUGGACAACU
Molecule: non-coding RNA, 2451 nt
Organism: Doryrhamphus excisus (bluestripe pipefish)
Lineage: Eukaryota; Metazoa; Chordata; Actinopteri; Syngnathiformes; Syngnathidae
Source: RefSeq, a predicted model, not a curated record